Molecule: ribosomal RNA, 433 nt
Filed under: uncultured bacterium
Lineage: Bacteria
Description: partial 16S ribosomal RNA
Rfam family: Bacterial small subunit ribosomal RNA
Source: RNAcentral
AGCGAACGCUAGCGGCAGGCCUAACACAUGCAAGUCGAACGAACUCUUCGGAGUUAGUGGCGGACGGGUGAGUAACACGUGGGAACGUGCCUUUUGGUUCGGAAUAACUCAGGGAAACUUGUGCUAAUACCGAAUGUGCCCUUCGGGGGAAAGAUUUAUCGCCAUUAGAGCGGCCCGCGUCUGAUUAGCUAGUUGGUGAGGUAACGGCUCACCAAGGCGACGAUCAGUAGCUGGUCUGAGAGGAUGACCAGCCACACUGGGACUGAGACACGGCCCAGACUCCUACGGGAGGCAGCAGUGGGGAAUCUUGCGCAAUGGGCGAAAGCCUGACGCAGCCAUGCCGCGUGAAUGAUGAAGGUCUUAGGAUUGUAAAAUUCUUUCACCGGGGACGAUAAUGACGGUACCCGGAGAAGAAGCCCCGGCUAACUUCGUG